This 497-nucleotide ribosomal RNA is filed under the name uncultured bacterium. RNAcentral describes it as "partial 16S ribosomal RNA". It matches the Rfam family "Bacterial small subunit ribosomal RNA", at positions 28 to 507 of the family's 1533-position model. The record is from RNAcentral.
GAUGAACGCUGGCGGCGUGCCUAAUACAUGCCAGUCGAGCGAACAGACGAGGAGCUUGCUCCUCUGACGUUAGCGGCGGACGGGUGAGUAACACGUGGAUAACCUACCUAUAAGACUGGGAUAACUUCGGGAAACCGGAGCUAAUACCGGAUAAUAUAUUGAACCGCAUGGUUCAAUAGUGAAAGACGGUUUUGCUGUCACUUAUAGAUGGAUCCGCGCCGCAUUAGCUAGUUGGUAAGGUAACGGCUUACCAAGGCAACGAUGCGUAGCCGACCUGAGAGGGUGAUCGGCCACACUGGAACUGAGACAAGGUCCAGACUCCUACGGGAGGCAGCAGUAGGGAAUCGUCCGCAAUGGGCGAAAGCCUGACGGAGCAACGCCGCGUGAGUGAUGAAGGUCUUCGGAUCGUAAAACUCUGUUAUUAGGGAAGAACAAAUGUGUAAGUAACUAUGCACGUCUUGACGGUACCUAAUCAGAAAGCCACGGCUAACUACGUG